GCGAGAAGCUGAGGCCGGCGG
Molecule: unclassified non-coding RNA, 21 nt
Filed under: Mus musculus (house mouse)
Lineage: Eukaryota; Metazoa; Chordata; Mammalia; Rodentia; Muridae
Description: oocyte_clustered_small_RNA10634
Source: RNAcentral